GCCGAAGUGGCGGAACAGGCAGACGCGACGGUCUCAAACACCGUUCCUGGCAACAGGGUGUGGGUUCAAAUCCCACCUUCGGCACCA
RNAcentral lists this transfer RNA (87 nucleotides) under Chloroflexota bacterium. RNAcentral describes it as "tRNA-Leu". It matches the Rfam family "tRNA". Rfam says of the family: Transfer RNA (tRNA) molecules are approximately 80 nucleotides in length. RNAcentral also lists the same sequence under 1 other name. The record is from RNAcentral. Lineage: Bacteria; Bacillati; Chloroflexota.